Oxyura jamaicensis (ruddy duck) is the source of this 1890-nucleotide long non-coding RNA. RefSeq lists it as uncharacterized. The record is from RefSeq and is a predicted model, not a curated record. The transcript is spliced from 2 exons. Lineage: Eukaryota; Metazoa; Chordata; Aves; Anseriformes; Anatidae.
CUUGUUUUAGGCAGCAAAAGCAUUUCAGAGAUGAGUUGGUUUCUUGCUUUGGGAAUCUUCAGUCCAGACUGUGCUGUGAUAAUAUCAUGCAAGCAGAAAGAUGUCACGUGAAUUCUGGAGCUACCGAAGUGAGUAUUUUGUACUGCACUGAAUGUUGAGGAAAGCCUCCAGAGCUAUUCAAAUUUAGGUCUAGAUUUCUGAAGCUGUUUUAUGGCUCUUAAAUUUUCUUGCAGGUGGAACAAGGAGGAGUAUGAGCAUUUGCAUGUAGGGUUAAGUCUUAAACUGUCCUAGAUUGUAUUCCGCAGUUAACACAGAAUAAUUGCUGAGUGUUUGGACUGCUGACUGGCUCUGCUGUUCUCAGCUUGCAGUAUUGUCGCAGGUCUCCUAACUUUUGGUUAAAACAUCACAGGGUAUAUGUCUCUACUAGCAAGCCGCUGUGAUGGCUGCUCUAUUGUGGGCCAAGGAGCCUAAGUAUAAGCUUUAUUUUCUUAGCCAUCAUGCCUGAAGUAGUGGUUGUUCUGCUAAACUUAUUGCUUAUAUAAUGACUCCAUUUGUUUAUUAUGCAGCUGAAUUUUGUCUUCAUACAAACUACUCGAUCUCUGGUGCAUGGACCAGUAGGCCUCUGUUUCUCCUUUGAAUGCUAUCAGCAUGAAUAGCUGAGAUUUUUAUCCACUCUUAAAUGAACUUAAAAUUUUGCUUUUUGUUCUUGAACUCAAACCAUGUCACAGUAGAGAAUUUCCUGAGGGCUUUUAUUUGAGGUUGGAAUUCUAAAAGAUACGGUGGUUAUAAACAUCUAAUGCUUGCUCCUCUUAGCAAAGCAAUUACAAUCCCAGGACCCUGAAGGAAUCAAGAGAUGCUUGAGGUAGUAUUGGAGAAUCCAGAUUUUAGCUAGAGAGAAACACAGCUUCUGCUUUGAAGAAUGAACAGAUGUUACCUGGAAGUGAGCAGCUAAAGUAAAGAACAGCAUGCUGGAUUCACCCUCCCUGCUGGCACUUAACCACAGCAGUCAGGUGGAAUGCAUGCCCAAGGGAGGGGCAACCUCGGUAGUGGGCUCGAAUCUAUUGGCAGGGAUCUGCAGCUCUUGUGCCCAGAGAGCUUUUCUCUUGGUCCUGGCUCUACCAAAUUCAUUCUGGUGCUAAAUGGUUAAAAAUGUGCUUCUGCUUUGAUUUCCAGAAGCAUGUCUGUUGAGAUGAGCUUAACAAAUCCCCUCGUGCGUGAUACCUGGAGAAAUAGCAGCAGCCAGCACAGGCAGGAAGCUGUUUGCUGGCAUAAUGAUGAUGACUCUUUGCCGUUUACCCAACUGAUUUUUUUGAUGAGUAACAUGUUAUCUGAUGUGCCAGCUCAUUAGUUAUUUUUUAGUAUCAUUUCUGAUUUGACUUGCUACCUGUGUUUCUGAUCUUUACUUUGUCUUUUAAAGGCAUUAUCAGAUGACCACCUCUGGUGUCCUCAAGCUGCGUGUGUACAUACAGCCAGCAGCAGACUCUGGCUCUCAGAAGUGUGGCUGUUGAAGGUUGAAAACAGUCUGAAGUGUGGAUUUCUAAUUCACUUGGAAGUGCUUUCAUGGCCCUUCUUGCUUCUCAGAAAUGCUGCUUGAUCUAAAGGCUGAGUAGGAGUUGAAAAUGUGAAAUAGUAGGUGAAAAUGUGAAUACCUGAAUGGAGUUCAGGUGAGAGCGUGACUCUAGGAGCAGAGGUAGCCCUGCAGACACUGUUAGAACUCAGCAUGGACAGUUAAGUGCGCUCAGAAUGACCAAAUUUGAAUAAAGCAAGUGUUAAAAGAUGUAGGAGAACUUGUGUUACUUUGUCUAAAUGAGUGUUUACAAUGUUAACAGUGGCAGCUCUUCUGCUCACCUGCAGUGCAGUGUUGUGUAAAUAAAAUCCUGAAUUUGUGUU